AUAUCCCUCGAGUCGACCAUGUAGCAGCAGCACUCAUUUCCGUCCAACGACUACUACCACUGUUGAAGUGCUACGUCUACCCAAUUCGCUCCCAUUUCGUGACUCCUUUACACUUAACAGCUUAAGUCUCUCAGGAUGCGGAAAUAGCAUGUAAGAAACUGUCAGUAAUUCCACUCCCGACACAAAGAUGUUUCCAAAUACUCAAGUUGUUGAUGAACCGUUGGAGAGAAAUAGUAGGCAAGCCACAAUGGAACCAAAGAACAUCAUUCACGCAUUUGCAGAAGUGCAAUUAUUGAGGGACAAAACUACAGUCGGAGACAGUGAAAACGAUAAAAGUUUUAAGUUGGGCAACAAUGACACAGUAAAAAAUCCGGGAGAUAUAUCCAUGACUGCUUCUCAAAGUUCUAUAUUUGGCAACAGCAGUUCAAUAAAUAGUUCAAGAGACUAUGAAAGUCUCAAUAAUUUUUUCAAUUUGGCAACAGUGAUGCAGCAAAGAACACAGGAGUUCAAUCCAAGAGUGUCUCUGAAAGUUUCAAGUUUGGCAACGGUGAUGCAGCAAAGAACCUAGGAGUUCAAUCCAAGAGUGUCGCUGAAAGUUUUAAGUUUGGCAACAGUGAUACAGCAAAGAACCCAAAAGUUCAAUCCAAUAGUGUCUCUGAAAGUUUUAAGUUUGGCAACAGUGAUGCAGCAAAGAACCCAGAAGUUCAAUCCAAGAGUGUCUCUGAAAGUUUAAAGUUUGGCAACAAUGAUGCAGCAAAGAACCCAGAAGUUCAAUCCAAGAGUGUCUCUGAAAGUUUUAAGUUUGGCAACAGUGAUGCAGCAAAGAACCCAGAAGUUCAAUCCAAGAGUGUCUCUGAAAGUUUUAAGUUUGGCAACAGUGAUACAGCAAAGAUCACAGAAGUUUUAUCCAAGAGUGUCUCUGAAUUUUUUAAGUUUCUCAACAGUGAUGCAGCAAAGAACCCAGAAGUUCAGUCCAAGAGUAUCUCUGAAAGUUUUAAGUUUGGCAACAGUGAUGCAGCAAAGAACCCAGAAUUUCAGUCCAAG
Macrobrachium nipponense is the source of this 1044-nucleotide long non-coding RNA. RefSeq lists it as uncharacterized. Lineage: Eukaryota; Metazoa; Arthropoda; Malacostraca; Decapoda; Palaemonidae. The record is from RefSeq and is a predicted model, not a curated record. The transcript has 3 exons.